Molecule: ribosomal RNA, 504 nt
Filed under: uncultured bacterium
Lineage: Bacteria
Description: partial 16S ribosomal RNA
Rfam family: Bacterial small subunit ribosomal RNA
Source: RNAcentral
GAUGAACGCUAGCUACAGGCUUAACACAUGCAAGUCGGACGGUAGCACAGAGAGCUUGCUCUCGGGUGACGAGUGGCGGACGGGUGAGUAAUGUCUGGGGAUCUGCCCGAUAGAGGGGGAUAACCACUGGAAACGGUGGCUAAUACCGCAUAACGUCGCAAGACCAAAGAGGGGGACCUUCGGGCCUCUCACUAUCGGAUGAACCCAGAUGGGAUUAGCUAGUAGGCGGGGUAACGGCCCACCUAGGCGACGAUCCCUAGCGGGUCUGAGAGGAUGACCAGCCACACUGGAACUGAGACACGGUCCAGACUCCUACGGGAGGCAGCAGUGGGGAAUAUUGCACAAUGGGCGCAAGCCUGAUGCAGCCAUGCCGCGUGUAUGAAGAAGGCCUUCGGGUUGUAAAGUACUUUCAGCGGGGAGGAAGGCGAUGUGGUUAAUAACCGCAUUGAUUGACGUUACCCGCAGAAGAAGCACCGGCUAACUCCGUGCCAGCAGCCGCAGUAA